AUUGCCCCAGUAACGGCGAGUGAAGCGGCAACAGCUCAAAUUUGAAAUCUGGCCCUCGGGUCCGAGUUGUAAUUUGGAGAGGAUGCUUUUGGCGCGGCGCCGUCCGAGUUCCUUGGAACAGGACGCCAUAGAGGGUGAGAGCCCCGUACGGGCGGCCGCCUAGCCUUUGUAAAGCUCCUUCGACGAGUCGAGUAGUUUGGGAAUGCUGCUCAAAAUGGGAGGUAAAUUUCUUCUAAAGCUAAAUACCGGCCAGAGACCGAUAGCGCACAAGUAGAGUGAUCGAAAGAUGAAAAGCACUUUGAAAAGAGGGUUAAAAAGUACGUGAAAUUGUUGAAAGGGAAGCGCCUGUGACCAGACUUGCGGCCCGUGGAUCAUCCGGUGUUCUUCACCGGUGCACUCCGCGGGCUGCAGGCCAGCAUCGGUUUUCCUAGGGGGAUAAAGGUCGCGGGAACGUAGCUCCCUCGGGAGUGUUAUAGCCCGUGGCGUCAUGCCUCUGGGGGGACCGAGGACCGCGCUUCGGCAAGGAUGCUGGCGUAAUGGUCACCGGCGACCCGUCUUGAAACACGGACCAAGGAGUCAAGCAUUGGGGCGAGUGUCUGGGUGCCAAACCCGCACGCGAAAUGAAAGUAAACGCAGGUGAGAGCUUCGGCGCAUCACCGACCGAUCCUGAUGUUCUCGGAUGGAUUUGAGUAAGAGCCUUACCGCUUGGACCCGAAAGAUGGUGAACUAUGCCUGUAUAGGGUGAAGCCAGAGGAAACUCUGGUGGAGGCUCGCAGCGGUUCUGACGUGCAAAUCGAUCGUCAAAUAUGGGCAUGGGGGCGAAAGACUAAUCGAACCAUCUAGUAGCUGGUUACCGCCGA
Molecule: ribosomal RNA, 860 nt
Filed under: Ophiostoma canum
Lineage: Eukaryota; Fungi; Ascomycota; Sordariomycetes; Ophiostomatales; Ophiostomataceae
Description: LSU rRNA
Rfam family: Eukaryotic large subunit ribosomal RNA
Source: RNAcentral